CUCCAGAUGUUGCUGAACUACAACUCCCAUGAUUCUAUGAAAAAAAUAGAUCGGCUGAGAACCAUGGGAGUUGUAGUUCAGCAACAUCUGGAG
This 93-nucleotide microRNA precursor is filed under the name Pelobates cultripes (western spadefoot toad). Lineage: Eukaryota; Metazoa; Chordata; Amphibia; Anura; Pelobatidae. The record is from RNAcentral.